This 253-nucleotide ribosomal RNA is filed under the name uncultured bacterium. RNAcentral's name for it is "partial 16S ribosomal RNA". It matches the Rfam family "Bacterial small subunit ribosomal RNA", at positions 524 to 776 of the family's 1533-position model. The record is from RNAcentral.
GACGGAGGGUGCGAGCGUUAUUCGGAUUUAUUGGGCGUAAAGAGAGUGUAGGCGGUCAGCCAAGUCUGAUGUGAAAGCCCGGGGCUUAACCUCGGAAGGGCGUUGGAAACUGGUUGACUUGAGUUCGGGAGAGGGAAGCGGAAUUCCGGGUGUAGAGGUGAAAUUCGUAGAUAUCCGGAGGAACACCGGUGGCGAAGGCGGCUUCCUGGACCGAAACUGACGCUGAGACUCGAAAGCGUGGGGAGCAAACAGG